UCAUCCUAAUUUCGGGGAUAAUUUCUUUAGUUUUCAUAUUGAGAAAUGUUUUUCUAAAGUGUGAGUCCCGCCACCCACAAUGAUGAGCUGGGGUGCUUCUUCCUGAGUGCGAAGCAGGUACAGAGAAGUGGUUUAAUCACAAGCUCUGUGCUUUUGGUGACCGUUCAGUGUUCCUUUUAUGGGAGCAUCAAGGGAAGGAGCAUGUUCUGAGUGGU
Lampris incognitus (smalleye Pacific opah) is the source of this 215-nucleotide small nucleolar RNA. RefSeq annotates it as small nucleolar RNA U3. The transcript has a single exon. The record is from RefSeq and is a predicted model, not a curated record. NCBI's taxonomy places the organism in Eukaryota, Metazoa, Chordata, Actinopteri, Lampriformes, Lampridae.